CCCUGGUUAGCUCACUUGGUAGAGCGCUCCACCUGUAAUGGAGAGGUCCCGGGUUCGAUACCCGGACCAGGAG
Molecule: transfer RNA, 73 nt
Filed under: Ixodes scapularis (black-legged tick)
Lineage: Eukaryota; Metazoa; Arthropoda; Arachnida; Ixodida; Ixodidae
Rfam family: tRNA
About the family: Transfer RNA (tRNA) molecules are approximately 80 nucleotides in length.
Source: Rfam by way of RNAcentral